GGGUCAGUAGGUUGGUCGUGCCACCGGUACGUACUGGUCUCACUGAUUCCUCCUUCCUGAAGAACCGUAAUGCCAUUAAUUUGGUGUUGCGGGGAAACAGGACUGUUACUUUGAAAAAAUUAGAGUGUUUAAAGCAAGCUAACGCUUGAAUACAUUAACAUGGAAUAGUGAAAUAGGACGAUCGAUCCUAUUUUGUUGGUUUCUAGGAUUGACGUA
Molecule: ribosomal RNA, 216 nt
Filed under: Glomeromycotina sp.
Lineage: Eukaryota; Fungi; Glomeromycota
Description: partial small subunit ribosomal RNA
Rfam family: Eukaryotic small subunit ribosomal RNA (bases 40-216)
Source: RNAcentral